GACGAACGCUGGCGGCGUGCUUAACACAUGCAAGUCGAGCGGUAAGGCCCUUUCGGGGGGUACACGAGCGGCGAACGGGUGAGUAACACGUGGGUGACCUGCCCUCAGCUCUGGGAUAAGCCUGGGAAACCGGGUCUAAUACUGGAUAUGACUCCAUGACGCAUGUUGUGGGGUGGAAAGCCUUGUGCGGCUGAGGAUGGGCCCGCGGCCUAUCAGCUUGUUGGUGGGGUGANGGCCUACCAAGGCGACGACGGGUAGCCGGCCUGAGAGGGCACCGGCCACACUGGGACUGAGACACGGCCCAGACUCUAC
RNAcentral lists this ribosomal RNA (312 nucleotides) under uncultured bacterium. RNAcentral describes it as "bacterial SSU rRNA". It matches the Rfam family "Bacterial small subunit ribosomal RNA", at positions 28 to 342 of the family's 1533-position model. The record is from RNAcentral.